UUUACAUAUAUAAUACCUCGAACAUUUAUUUCAAUUCGAAUUUGAAUUUUGUCAAAUAAUUUUUUUCCUUACUUUCUUUCCUUCUAAUCUUUAUACUUUACCGAGGUCAGUCUACUGACUGAAUAAAUUUACUUUCUCCGUCUCUCUCUUUCCGUUGAUCGAUGACGAACGUUGUCCGAGCUGCUUCGAAUCGCCCACCGUGUGGCAACAACAACGCUAUCAUUGUUAUCGAGAAAUGCGUACGAGAGUUGCGUAUACGCGGUCAUGGUAUGAAUUUCUGAACGUUCGACGGCCGUCGACCGACCGACCGACCGACCGACCAACCAACCAACCAACCAACCAACCAAUGAACCAACUAACCGAUCGACCGACCGACCGACCGACCGACCGAUCGACCGCUUUAAAUCGUUACUCAAAGUAGAGUUGAGUCAAGUUAAGUCGAAUCCGUAGUAGAGAGUCAGUUUCUCUCUUAUGAAGCGAGAACGUUAAACCCUAGACUCUCGCUUUUAAAUCAACCAACAAACUCGACGCGUUUCCUCUGCUCGACACAGUCGACUCUUUGUCGCGAUCUUUUCUUUUCUUUUUUUUCUUUCUUCUUUUUUCUCUCUUUCUCUUUCUUUCUCUCUCUCUUUCUCUCUCUCACUCAUUUCCUUUCUUUUCGUUUAUUUUCAUUUCCUUUCGUUUCAUUACAUUUCAUGUUUCCUUUCUCCAUUCUUCGCUUCUUCUUGAAUUUUUAUAAAAAUUUACAAGCGCAACUUGUAUCCGAUUAUGAUCCAUACAACAAAUGUAUCUCCAUUAUCGAUUACGAUUACGAUUACGAUUAGGAUUAAAUCGAGUUUAUAAACAAAUUCGAUAAAUAUUAUUGUGCCUGACAAUAUAUAUAUGUGUAAUAACGAUUAACGAUAUUGUACGAUGUAAUUUUUGUAACUUUUCUUUUUUUCUUUUUUCUUUUUUUUUUUCUUUUUUUUUUUUUGGGAUAAUAUUAAUCGAGUUUUUAUACGUUGUGCACGUUACUCGACAUUCCUUAGAAUACUGUAAUAAUAAAUAUCUUAUAUAGCAAAAUAUUUUUUAUUUUCGUUAGAAUAACUUCUCUAAAACAGAAUAUAUAUAUAUAUAUAUAUUUUUUUUUUUUCUAAAAAGAAAAAAUUAAAAUACUACAUUUCGUCAAACUUUUGCAUUAUAUUCGUCAAAAAUUAUGAUCACAUUGCAAUAAUUAUGAACACUGCAAUAAUUAUGAUCAAAUUGAUUGUAAUUUUCUUCGAUUAAGUCGAAUUUUUAAAGAAAUUUCAAUGGAUAUCAAAUAGGACGCGUAACACGUCAAAUUAUAAUUGACAACGCAAUAGGUUUUAUUUUUUUCUUCGACGAUCUAAUACAAAAGAAAAAAAGGAAAAGAGAAAACUUUAAAGAGACAUACAUAUUUAUAUAAAGUAACAACGUAAACGUAACAAUGACUCUACAUUUCACGUUUAUUCACAAAAAUAAAGAACACGUUGUAAUGAUCAUUCGUAAUUGUUCUUUCAAUAGUUGAAUAUAUGAAAUAUCUGAACGUUUUGAAUCUAAGAGAGGGGGAAAGAAAAAGGAAGAAGAAAAAAGAAAAAGAGAAAGAAAAAUAAAACAAGAAAAGUAUCGAAAAGUCUGAAGAUUAUUGAACGAAACAAUAGCGACAAGAUUUGUCGCCAUUUGUGUUAUAUUUCAUUUAUAAAAAAAAAAAAAAGUAAAAAAAAAAAACAAAACGAAACAAAAAAAGAAAAGAAAAACUUACACAUCUAUACGUUGCAAUAAUUUUUCUCUCAUUCGCUUAUUAAUCCUUUAUAGUAGCUUACAACUUUUUUCAAAAAAAAAAAAAAAAAAAAAAAAAAAAAGAAAAAAGAAAAAAAAAAGAAAAAAAAAAUCACAAAUAUCCGACUUUUGAGGUAUUUAUUAAAAUCAACAUAUUUAAAAAAAAAAAAAAAAAAAAAAAAAAUCAAAUCUAUACUCACAAGUUUUUCUCAUUUUAUUUUAUCGCCAGAUGUAUGAUGUAGUUUUAAUAUGAGAGAAACGAAAAAUAAAUAUGAAAAUAAAAAGGAAAAAAAAUGCGUUAUUACAUGUGUGUGUGUUUGAGUCAUAUUAAAAAUAAAAAUCAUAUAUAUGUAUAUAAAUAUAUAUAUCGACUCAAAGUAUUAGAUUUUUUUGAAAGAGAAAACCAAGAAAAUUAUUUUGCGAAUUCAAUUGAAAUUUCGCAUUAGCGCGUACAAAAAAAAAUUGCUUUCAACGUUACCGGACGAUUCAAAUCUUCCUCUUUCUCUUCUAUUUCUUUCUUUUUUUCUUUUUUUUUUUUUUUUAUAGUUCAAUAUCCUCCAUAAAAUAGCACGUAAGAUAAUAAACAUUGUAAGAUCGAGAUAGGCGGUAUAUAGGGAGGUGGAGAAGAGGUAGAGAGAUAGAUAAAGAGAGUGAGAGAGAGAGAGAGAGAGAGAGAGAGAGAGAGAGAGAGAGAGAGAGAGAGAGAGAGAGAGAGAGAGAGAGAGAGAGAGAGAGAGA
This is a long non-coding RNA of Vespa velutina, 2517 nucleotides long. RefSeq lists it as uncharacterized. The transcript is spliced from 2 exons. The record is from RefSeq and is a predicted model, not a curated record. Lineage: Eukaryota; Metazoa; Arthropoda; Insecta; Hymenoptera; Vespidae.